CCUACGGGAGGCAGCAGUGGGGAAUAUUGGACAAUGGGCGAAAGCCUGAUCCAGCAAUGCCGCGUGAGUGAUGAAGGCCUUAGGGUUGUAAAGCUCUUUUACCAGGGAUGAUAAUGACAGUACCUGGAGAAUAAGCUCCGGCUAACUCCGUGCCAGCAGCCGCGGUAAUACGGAGGGAGCUAGCGUUGUUCGGAAUUACUGGGCGUAAAGCGUACGUAGGCGGUUAUUCAAGUCAGAGGUGAAAGCCUGGAGCUCAACUCCAGAACUGCCUUUGAAACUAGAUAGCUAGAAUCUUGGAGAGGUGAGUGGAAUUCCGAGUGUAGAGGUGAAAUUCGUAGAUAUUCGGAAGAACACCAGUGGCGAAGGCGACUCACUGGACAAGUAUUGACGCUGAGGUACGAAAGCGUGGGGAGCAAACAGGAUUAGAUACCCUGGUAGUCCACGCCGUAAACGAUGAUAACUAGCUGUUCGGGCUCUACGAGCUUGAGUGGCGCAGCUAACGCAUUAAGUUAUCCGCCUGGGGAGUACGGUCGCAAGAUUAAAACUCAAAAGAUAGUAGGACGUGAGAGAGCGACGACGACGACGACGGAGGAGGAGG
Molecule: ribosomal RNA, 598 nt
Filed under: uncultured bacterium
Lineage: Bacteria
Description: bacterial SSU rRNA
Rfam family: Bacterial small subunit ribosomal RNA
Source: RNAcentral